Alnus glutinosa is the source of this 1101-nucleotide long non-coding RNA. RefSeq lists it as uncharacterized. The record is from RefSeq and is a predicted model, not a curated record. The transcript has 2 exons. NCBI's taxonomy places the organism in Eukaryota, Viridiplantae, Streptophyta, Magnoliopsida, Fagales, Betulaceae.
UAACUCUACCCUUUAUUUUAACCACAAGGUUUCAAAUUCUAAAAACAAUAAAAUAAUAAAGCAAGUUAAAAUGAUGUAGCUUACUAGACAAAGUUAAAUAACCAUAUAUAGCUUAUGCACGAAACGAAGCAACUCUAUGUAGUGCAUGAAUACCCUUAAUUCCUAUCCAUAAUUUGAAAAAGAAGGAAAAACAUGGCUAAGACUACCAAAUCUAUUUGUUUCUUUGUUAUUUUCUUCACAUUCAUACUUCUUGUAAACGGGGAAUCCAUAGUGGAUAACAAUUGUAAGAAAAAAUUUUGUACUGGUUGCAUCGUGGACUGUGACGAGAGAUGUAGGAAAGAAGCGCACGCGCUCCGUGGGAAAUGCCACUUAUGGUAUAGAAUAUUUUUUCAAGCAUGCUUCUGCUACUUCUGUUGAACGACGACAGUUGGUAAAUGCAUAUAAGCAUAAAUGGGUUGUAAUGAUCUAUAUACUAUUACAAAUAAUAUCGAUCUUAAGUGACUUUGCCUUUCAUUACCGCCCUUGUUGGCGCGCCAGUUCUCUUUAUAGGUUGAGUCAUUUUUUUUACAUGUUCUUAAUAGUUUUUUAGAUUGUUGUACUGAUAGCUGGUUGUUUUUGGGCUCUUGUUUGGGUUACCCACCUAUUAUUUUUACUUUUCAUGUAAUUUUCAUUUCCUUUUAGUCUAAGACUCUCUCCCUUGAUGUAUAUAGGGGGUAAUGCCAAAAGAAAGACUCGUGUCCUCCUCAAGUCCUCCCAAAAUUUAUGUGGCUUUUAAAAUCACAAUAAGAUGUAUAAUAGAUCACUAUUGAAUUUUGAUCUAAUUGUAAUUUUUAAAGUCACAUCAAUUUUUUGAGGACUCCAAAAGUAGGGAUGGAACUAGGGGGGCCGGUAGGGGUCAUGGCCCCCCCUUAGUUCCAAAAAACAAAUAGGUAAAAAAAAAAAAAAUUAGCCUAUUGACCCCUAGCUUCUGCCCAUAAGAGCUUCUGUCUCCAUCCCUGUCAAAAAGGACAUUGGUCUUCCUUUUAGGAGUUUUAGCAUUACUCGUAUAGGCCAUGUACCACGUGUUCAAUGAAUCAAUAUAUGCUUAUUUAUUAUAGUGUA